Molecule: ribosomal RNA, 160 nt
Filed under: Dicrocoelium chinensis
Lineage: Eukaryota; Metazoa; Platyhelminthes; Trematoda; Plagiorchiida; Dicrocoeliidae
Description: 5.8S ribosomal RNA
Rfam family: 5.8S ribosomal RNA
About the family: 5.8S ribosomal RNA (5.8S rRNA) is a component of the large subunit of the eukaryotic ribosome.
Source: RNAcentral
UGUACAACUCUGAGCGGUGGAUCACUCGGCUCGUGUGUCGAUGAAGAGCGCAGCCAACUGUGUGAAUUAAUGUGAACUGCAUACUGCUUUGAACAUCGACAUCUUGAACGCAUAUUGCGGCCAUGGGUUAGCCUGUGGCCACGCCUGUCCGAGGGUCGGC